GAUGAACGCUGGCGGCGUGCCUAAUACAUGCAAGUCGAGCGAACGGACGAGAAGCUUGCUUUUCUGAUGUUAGCGGCGGACGGGUGAGUAACACGUGGAUAACCUACCUAUAAGACUGGGAUAACUUCGGGAAACCGGAGCUAAUACCGGAUAAUAUUUUGAACCGCAUGGUUCAAAAGUGAAAGACGGUCUUGCUGUCACUUAUAGAUGGAUCCGCGCUGCAUUAGCUAGUUGGUAAGGUAACGGCUUACCAAGGCAACGAUGCAUAGCCGACCUGAGAGGGUGAUCGGCCACACUGGAACUGAGACACGGUCCAGACUCCUACGGGAGGCAGCAGUAGGGAAUCUUCCGCAAUGGGCGAAAGCCUGACGGAGCAACGCCGCGUGAGUGAUGAAGGUCUUCGGAUCGUAAAACUCUGUUAUUAGGGAAGAACAUAUGUGUAAGUAACUGUGCACAUCUUGACGGUACCUAAUCAGAAAGCCACGGCUAACUACGUGCCAGCAGCCGCGGUAAUACGUAGGUGGCAAGCGUUAUCCGGAAUUAUUGGGCGUAAAGCGCGCGUAGGCGGUUUUUUAAGUCUGAUGUGAAAGCCCACGGCUCAACCGUGGAGGGUCAUUGGAAACUGGAAAACUUGAGUGCAGAAGAGGAAAGUGGAAUUCCAUGUGUAGCGGUGAAAUGCGCAGAGAUGUGGAGGAACACCAGUGGCGAAGGCGACUUUCUGGUCUGUAACUGACGCUGAUGUGCGAAAGCGUGGGGAUCAAACAGGAUUAGAUACCCUGGUAGUCCACGCCGUAAACGAUGAGUGCUAAGUGUUAGGGGGUUUCCGCCCCUUAGUGCUGCAGCUAACGCAUUAAGCACUCCGCCUGGGGAGUACGACCGCAAGGUUGAAACUCAAAGGAAUUGACGGGGGCCCGCACAAGCGGUGGAGCAUGUGGUUUAAUUCGAAGCAACGCGAAGAACCUUACCAAAUCUUGACAUCCUUUGACAACUCUAGAGAUAGAGCCUUCCCCUUCGGGGGACAAAGUGACAGGUGGUGCGUGGUUGUCGUCAGCUCGUGUCGUGAGAUGUUGGGUUAAGUCCCGCAACGAGCGCAACCCUUAAGCUUAGUUGCCAUCAUUAAGUUGGGCACUCUAAGUUGACUGCCGGUGACAAACCGGAGGAAGGUGGGGAUGACGUCAAAUCAUCAUGCCCCUUAUGAUUUGGGCUACACACGUGCUACAAUGGACAAUACAAAGGGCAGCGAAACCGCGAGGUCAAGCAAAUCCCAUAAAGUUGUUCUCAGUUCGGAUUGUAGUCUGCAACUCGACUACAUGAAGCUGGAAUCGCUAGUAAUCGUAGAUCAGCAUGCUACGGUGAAUACGUUCCCGGGUCU
Molecule: ribosomal RNA, 1372 nt
Filed under: uncultured bacterium
Lineage: Bacteria
Description: bacterial SSU rRNA
Rfam family: Bacterial small subunit ribosomal RNA
Source: RNAcentral